Long non-coding RNA from Mytilus californianus (California mussel), 155 nucleotides. RefSeq lists it as uncharacterized. The record is from RefSeq and is a predicted model, not a curated record. The transcript has 3 exons. NCBI's taxonomy places the organism in Eukaryota, Metazoa, Mollusca, Bivalvia, Mytilida, Mytilidae.
AGGUUCUUUCUGAGACAUGUUUUCAUGGUGUGGGAAUAAGACUUGGUGGUCUUAUACAGCUAAUACAAAGGUUAGCAUCACAGCUUGUCUGUAAGGAUUGAAGCUGGGAGUGGGCAUUGGAGCUGACUUUUAUGAUAACUGUGGCUGCAUAGAAU